This 264-nucleotide signal recognition particle RNA is filed under the name Chloroflexota bacterium. Its description in RNAcentral is "Chloroflexi bacterium (freshwater metagenome) signal recognition particle sRNA large type". It matches the Rfam family "Bacterial large signal recognition particle RNA". Rfam says of the family: The signal recognition particle (SRP) is a universally conserved ribonucleoprotein involved in the co-translational targeting of proteins to membranes. The record is from RNAcentral. Lineage: Bacteria; Bacillati; Chloroflexota.
UCGUGCUAGAUGGGGAGCUAGCGGUGCCCUGUACCCGCAAUCCGCUGUAGCGGGGUCGAAUUCCCCCUCGAGGUCGGACCGUUUAGGACUGCCUGGGCAAAGUGGUGUUGAAUAUCGGGUCCGGCGCGGCAGGAGCUUGCCCAACCCCGCCAGGUUCGGAAGAAAGCAACGGUUAGCAUUCUCUCCUGGGUGCCGCCGGGCGACCUGAUAGGAGCCGGCUGGCUCCGGCAAGCUGGGCGAUCUUGGUCGACAGGGGGUGCACGA